Molecule: ribosomal RNA, 481 nt
Filed under: uncultured bacterium
Lineage: Bacteria
Description: partial 16S ribosomal RNA
Rfam family: Bacterial small subunit ribosomal RNA
Source: RNAcentral
GAUGAACGCUGGCGGCGUGCUUAACACAUGCAAGUCGAACGAAACACCUUAGUUUAUUUUCUUCGGAACUGAGGAUUUGGGGAUUGAGUGGCGGGCGGGUGAGUAACGCGUGGGUAACCUGCCCUGUACAGGGGGAUAACAGUCAGAGAUGACUGCUACUACCGCAUAAGACGACAGCACCGCAUGGUGCAGGGGUAAAAACUCCGGUGGUACAGGAUGGUCCCGCGUCUGAUUAGCUGGGUGGUGAGGUAACGGCGCACCAAGGCGACGAUCAGUAGCCGGCUUGAGAGAGUGAACGGCUACAUUGGGAAUGAGACCCGGACCAAUCUCCUACGGGAGGCAGCAGUGGGGAAUAUUGCACAAUGGGGGAAACCCUGAUGCAGCGACGCCGCGUGAGUGAAGAAGUAUUUCGGAAUGUAAAGCUCUAUGAGCAGGGAAGAAAAUGACGGUACCUGACAAAGAAGCCCCGGCUAACUACGUG